GGUUAAGCGACUAAGCGUACACGGUGGAUGCCCUGGCAGUCAGAGGCGAUGAAGGACGUGCUAAUCUGCGAUAAGCGCCGGUAAGGUGAUAUGAACCGUUAUAACCGGCGAUUUCCGAAUGGGGAAACCCAGUGUGAUUCGUCACACUAUCAUUAACUGAAUCCAUAGGUUAAUGAGGCGAACCGGGGGAACUGAAACAUCUAAGUACCCCGAGGAAAAGAAAUCAACCGAGAUUCCCCCAGUAGCGGCGAGCGAACGGGGAGGAGCCCAGAGCCUGAAUCAGCAUGUGUGUUAGUGGAAGCGUCUGGAAAGGCGCGCGAUACAGGGUGACAGCCCCGUACACAAAAGCGCAUGUGCUGUGAGCUCGAUGAGUAGGGCGGGACACGUGGUAUCCUGUCUGAAUAUGGGGGGACCAUCCUCCAAGGCUAAAUACUCCUGACUGACCGAUAGUGAACCAGUACCGUGAGGGAAAGGCGAAAAGAACCCCGGCGAGGGGAGUGAAAAAGAACCUGAAACCGUGUACGUACAAGCAGUGGGAGCACAGGUUUACCUGUGUGACUGCGUACCUUUUGUAUAAUGGGUCAGCGACUUAUAUUCUGUAGCAAGGUUAACCGAAUAGGGGAGCCGGAGGGAAACCGAGUCUUAAU
This 647-nucleotide ribosomal RNA is filed under the name Salmonella enterica. Its description in RNAcentral is "partial 23S ribosomal RNA". It matches the Rfam family "Bacterial large subunit ribosomal RNA", at positions 1 to 688 of the family's 2925-position model. The record is from RNAcentral. RNAcentral also lists the same sequence under 3 other names. Lineage: Bacteria; Pseudomonadati; Pseudomonadota; Gammaproteobacteria; Enterobacterales; Enterobacteriaceae.